UUCUCUGUAACAUUUUUUUAAUUGUAUUUAAAUGUCCUUCAUCCUGAGGGGGACAUGAAGGUCUGGAUGUCUGGUGCGUUUCUGUUCUUUCAGCUCGAGCGGUCGAAUUUUCGGCUGAAGUGUCGACGCUUCGGUUCAGACUGAACGCCAGCGAGAGCUCAGUGGACGACCUGAAGAAGAAGAGCUCAGCUCUGGCGGCGGAGCUGCCGUUCCUGCAGACGAGACUGAGGGCGAGUGAGAGCACAGUGGAGCAGCUGAGGAGGAAGAGCGCAGUCCUGGCGGUCAGACUGUGUCACGCUGAGCGCCUGAUGGAGGAGCUGAUGAAGCAG
Long non-coding RNA from Micropterus salmoides (largemouth bass), 329 nucleotides. RefSeq lists it as uncharacterized. NCBI's taxonomy places the organism in Eukaryota, Metazoa, Chordata, Actinopteri, Centrarchiformes, Centrarchidae. The record is from RefSeq and is a predicted model, not a curated record. The transcript is spliced from 3 exons.